CGGGAGCCCGGGGCUGCCCGGGCCGGAGGCGCUGCUCCCCGCUCUCGUCCGCCCGGGCUGCGCGACAGUUCCUGUCGGAUUCCGGCGAACCUGUAAUGUAAUGAAUGACAGGACGAUCUAGCUCCUUGUGUAGCUAACUAGGUCACUGUCAGCACUUAAUUACUGUUUGUUUCAUUUUAGUGCGUGCCUUAUGAAUAAACCGGCUAUUAGGCUGAUGCUUCAAGUAACACUACCCAGCACCAAGUUUCCAGAGGCUCGAAUUUGGAACUCAGAAAAUAAGAAGCACUUCGUUAGAAGACACCAGUUCCAUGAUCACAGCCUAACACUGGAACAGUUUCGUCAACUAGAUGGAUGUCCUGGGAGAAUUCCCAAAGGAUUACUUACUUUGCUAAUCUCUGCUCAAGGACUUCUGGUGGCUUCAUUGCUAACAAAGGCUUAG
This 439-nucleotide long non-coding RNA is filed under the name Athene cunicularia (burrowing owl). Its description in RNAcentral is "lncRNA (ENSACUG00000010247.1)". Lineage: Eukaryota; Metazoa; Chordata; Aves; Strigiformes; Strigidae. The record is from RNAcentral.